This 630-nucleotide ribosomal RNA is filed under the name uncultured bacterium. RNAcentral describes it as "bacterial SSU rRNA". It matches the Rfam family "Bacterial small subunit ribosomal RNA", at positions 295 to 917 of the family's 1533-position model. The record is from RNAcentral.
AGAGGACGAUCAGCCACACUGGGACUGAGACACGGCCCAGACUCCUACGGGAGGCAGCAGUGGGGAAUAUUGGACAAUGGGCGCAAGCCUGAUCCAGCAAUACCGCGUGUGUGAAGAAGGCCCUAGGGUUGUAAAGCACUUUCAAUGGGGAGGAAAACCUGCCGGCCAAUACCCGGUAGCUUGACAUUACCUAUAGAAGAAGCACCGGCUAACUCCGUGCCAGCAGCCGCGGUAAUACGGAGGGUGCGAGCGUUAAUCGGAAUUACUGGGCGUAAAGCGUGCGUAGGCGGUUCGUUAAGUCAGAUGUGAAAGCCCCGGGCUCAACCUGGGAACUGCAUUUGAAACUGGCGAACUAGAGUUGAGUAGAGGGGAGUGGAAUUUCAGGUGUAGCGGUGAAAUGCGUAGAUAUCUGAAGGAACACCAGUGGCGAAGGCGACUCCCUGGACUCAAACUGACGCUGAGGUACGAAAGCGUGGGUAGCAAACAGGAUUAGAUACCCUGGUAGUCCACGCCGUAAACGAUGUCAACUAGCCGUUGGUCCUAUUUACAGGAUUAGUGGCGCAGCUAACGCAUUAAGUUGACCGCCUGGGGAGUACGGCCGCAAGGUUAAAACUCAAAGGAAUUGACGGA